CUCACCCUGAACUCAUUUCUGGCCCAACCCCAGAGCCUGCACCCCAAUUUCAUGAGCAUUCAUGGCCCGCCCUACACUUUCCAUACCUAGAUGUGACCCUCGGGCCACAAAGUUUGCCCACCCCUGCACUAGAGGAAGGAUAGUAGGGAUAUAGCUAAAAUAAGUAUUCAAGAGGGUAGCACAUAAUGAAAAAAGGAAAUGAGAUCAAGAAAGUUAGUCUACUAGGCAUCCCACUUGCUAAAGAAUCCCCGGUAACACUACUUCAUCUCUCACUCCCUUAGUAAUUUCACUUUUUAGAUGUUACAGAAACAAAAACUAGAAGAGGGAAUUUUGACUUGGCUAAAAGGUUUUCUGACAACCAUUUCCCCUUCCAAUGUGGCAGUGUAAUCACCACAAUAAAGUUCCAUUUAAUCAUGACGUGGCCAGCUGAUUUUAAAUCUCAUUUUGAGCAUCAUUAUGUGCUUGAAUUAUAUUUAAGCCUCUACAGGCCCCUGCUCCAAUUCAGUGAGCAUCUUCCUUAGAAAAAAGCAAGUCAAGAUAAACCAGAGGGGAAGCCUAACAGGUGGAAAAACUGAAAAUGGCCUAGUCUUCACUGAGAUUUGAACAUGUGUUAUUCUGUGGGGAUUACUUCACUACAGGUUCUUAACUCAGAUGCUGCUCCCAUCCACGCACGGACAUCUGACUCAACUUCACUGAUGUUUCCAACCCAGGCUAGCUGUCUCUCUUAAGCCCAAGUGAAACUUGCAAAUCAGGCUGGUAACCUGCUCAUGUUGUAGUGAGGACACAGGAUAAACCACUCUAGUGCUGAGGGAAAGGCAUCAGAGGCCAAUUCUCUUUGCAUGCCCAGGAGGACAGAAGAUCUCUCACACAAUUCAUUGGGAAAGUCACAGCAGCUCAGCUUACUGCAGCACUAAGAACCAUGCUCCCAGAAGUCCUAGUGACACACAUGGGGGAAUGCAACACCAGCGAGGACACAUACUUGGGUAUUGCUGUGCAGUGUGGCUGAUCACCCACGUAACUACAGAGACCCCAAAAAAACAAAAGAAACGUAUUACAACAAAGGAACAGACACUUACAGAACUGCCCAUGCGGGAGAGUGCUUCUUCUGUACGCUCUACUCUGCUACCCUUGGUACUAACAGUGAAUGCUCUGGUGAUGUGACUGCAGAACUCCACCGAGAUACCACAGCUCUGAAAGUAAGAACAGGUUCAAUAUUUGCAGAUAAACACCCACUGAGAUCUUAUGUCUAUCUACAUUGCAUUAUGAAAAAUUCAAAUGGAGAUUGUUUUUUUAAGGUGGAGAAAGUCAAAGGAAUAAGUUUUACUGCAAGAUAUUGAUUCUAAUCAAAUUUCGGCUGUUUUGAAGAGGUCUGAGGAGCAAGAAAUUUCUCUUCUGGGCAUUUAAAAGUUGGCUUUUUGUUUGUUUACAAACAUGGGGAUUUUAGAAUGAGGGAAGAUUCCUCACAGUUUAGAAAAAGCAUCAGGGAAGAGGGUCAGGAAAGUGGACAGCAACAAUUAGCAGCAAGAAUUUAGAGCACUGAAUCACUUGAACUUUUCAAAAGUUCAGUAUACUAAGUAUACAACACCAAGGGGUUUUAAAGGAUGGGGAAUACCAGAAGGUAAAAUGAAGAACUAGUGGCAUCUAAGGAAAAUCCUUAAGACCUGCACAAGUUCCUGAAUGGCUGUUCAGUCUUCCACAGAUUCAGAUAGGAAAAAGAAAAGCAGAGGACAUACGGCUCAGAAGAGAUGAUGGUGCAAGAACUGGAGACACAGAUAACUCCUGCAAGCUGGAGAAGACCAACAUUGUCUUUAUUGUGGGGUAGAGUGGAAGAAUGGCUGGAAGGAGUAUGUUGGAAAGGGACUGGCUUCCAACAACAACAAACCCUUAACACAGAGGUUCUCAAACUGGGACCUAGAGAUAUAUGCUGGUGGUCACGUGAUGCUGGCUUUCCUUACUUCCAGCUGCUAAACCAUAGUAAAAAGCAACUAAAAUACUUUAAGAUCCUUCCUCAGCUCUUAAUACAUACAUCCAAGUCAACAUGAACUUUCUCCAGAAUCCACGACUUCUGCCCAAAGCUACACAUUCCUAGGGCGAAAAAAUCCACACAUACC
Trachemys scripta elegans is the source of this 2111-nucleotide long non-coding RNA. RefSeq lists it as uncharacterized. The transcript is spliced from 4 exons. The record is from RefSeq and is a predicted model, not a curated record. NCBI's taxonomy places the organism in Eukaryota, Metazoa, Chordata, Testudines, Emydidae.